RNAcentral lists this non-coding RNA (30 nucleotides) under Homo sapiens (human). Lineage: Eukaryota; Metazoa; Chordata; Mammalia; Primates; Hominidae. The record is from RNAcentral.
CCAAGCACUAUCCGCAAAUGGUCUCCAGUG